This 252-nucleotide ribosomal RNA is filed under the name uncultured bacterium. Its description in RNAcentral is "partial 16S ribosomal RNA". It matches the Rfam family "Archaeal small subunit ribosomal RNA", at positions 474 to 726 of the family's 1478-position model. The record is from RNAcentral.
UACCAGCACCCCGAGUGGUCGGGACGUUUAUUGGGCCUAAAGCAUCCGUAGCCGGUUCUACAAGUCUUCCGUUAAAUCCACCUGCUCAACAGAUGGGCUGCGGAAGAUACUAUAGAGCUAGGAGGCGGGAGAGGCAAGCGGUACUCGAUGGGUAGGGGUAAAAUCCGUUGAUCCAUUGAAGACCACCAGUGGCGAAGGCGGCUUGCCAGAACGCGCUCGACGGUGAGGGAUGAAAGCUGGGGGAGCAAACCG